ACAUCGAAAGAAUCAACAACCUAUCAUUUAUACUAGCUGACUUGCAACAAAAGACAAAAAACGCAGAACAAGAAAGAGACAGCGUAAUUACUGCCAUGCGUCUGCUAAUUGCUGAAACCAAUAGCGUAGUAGAAAACAAUGUUAUUGAACAAAAGCUGUGCAAUGAAGUGGAUGAUUGCACCCAGUCAAAAGAUAUUAUAAACCCGAAUAUUAAAUUAAAGAACAAAUAUUCGGUACUGGAAAACGAGCAAGUAGACGGCGGCGAAUCAAGCGCAAUAUCAAACCAGAAAACUGAGGAAGAUCAAGUACAACAAAAAAAGAAAAGGAAAUCCAAGUCAAAGAAAAAGACAACCAAAGAUGACGCAUCACGUAAGCC
This 376-nucleotide long non-coding RNA is filed under the name Paramuricea clavata. The record is from RNAcentral. Lineage: Eukaryota; Metazoa; Cnidaria; Anthozoa; Malacalcyonacea; Plexauridae.